CCUACGGGAGGCAGCAGUGGGGGAUAUUGGACAAUGGGGGGAACCCUGAUCCAGCGACGCCGCGUGAGUGAAGAAGUAUCUCGGGAUGUAAAGCUCUAUCAGCAGGGAAGAAGAAAUGACGGUACCUGAGUACGAAGCCCCGGCUAACUCCGUGCCAGCAGCCGCGGUAAUACGUAGGGGGCAAGCGUUCUCCGGAAUUACUGGGUGUAAGGGGUGCGUAGGCGGACUGUUAAGUCAGCGGUAAAAACCCGGGGCUCAACCCCGGCGAGCCGUUGAAACUGGCUGUCUUGAGAUGUCGAGAGGUAUGCGGAAGGCGCGGUGUAGCGGUGAAAUGCAUAGAUAUUGCGCAGAACUCCGAUUGCGAAGGCAGCAUACCGGCGGCGAUCUGACGCUGAGGCACGAAAGCGUGGGGAUCGAACAGGAUUAGAUACCCGUGUAGUC
This 441-nucleotide ribosomal RNA is filed under the name uncultured bacterium. RNAcentral's name for it is "partial 16S ribosomal RNA". It matches the Rfam family "Bacterial small subunit ribosomal RNA", at positions 338 to 795 of the family's 1533-position model. The record is from RNAcentral.